Molecule: ribosomal RNA, 1330 nt
Filed under: Microbacterium testaceum
Lineage: Bacteria; Bacillati; Actinomycetota; Actinomycetes; Micrococcales; Microbacteriaceae
Description: bacterial SSU rRNA
Rfam family: Bacterial small subunit ribosomal RNA
Source: RNAcentral
UGGUGGAUCAGUGGCGAACGGGUGAGUAACACGUGAGCAACCUGCCCUGGACUCUGGGAUAAGCGCUGGAAACGGCGUCUAAUACUGGAUAUGAGACGUGAUCGCAUGGUCGUGUUUGGAAAGAUUUUUCGGUCUGGGAUGGGCUCGCGGCCUAUCAGCUUGUUGGUGAGGUAAUGGCUCACCAAGGCGUCGACGGGUAGCCGGCCUGAGAGGGUGACCGGCCACACUGGGACUGAGACACGGCCCAGACUCCUACGGGAGGCAGCAGUGGGGAAUAUUGCACAAUGGGCGGAAGCCUGAUGCAGCAACGCCGCGUGAGGGAUGACGGCCUUCGGGUUGUAAACCUCUUUUAGCAGGGAAGAAGCGAAAGUGACGGUACCUGCAGAAAAAGCGCCGGCUAACUACGUGCCAGCAGCCGCGGUAAUACGUAGGGCGCAAGCGUUAUCCGGAAUUAUUGGGCGUAAAGAGCUCGUAGGCGGUUUGUCGCGUCUGCUGUGAAAUCCCGAGGCUCAACCUCGGGCCUGCAGUGGGUACGGGCAGACUAGAGUGCGGUAGGGGAGAUUGGAAUUCCUGGUGUAGCGGUGGAAUGCGCAGAUAUCAGGAGGAACACCGAUGGCGAAGGCAGAUCUCUGGGCCGUAACUGACGCUGAGGAGCGAAAGGGUGGGGAGCAAACAGGCUUAGAUACCCUGGUAGUCCACCCCGUAAACGUUGGGAACUAGUUGUGGGGACCAUUCCACGGUUUCCGUGACGCAGCUAACGCAUUAAGUUCCCCGCCUGGGGAGUACGGCCGCAAGGCUAAAACUCAAAGGAAUUGACGGGGACCCGCACAAGCGGCGGAGCAUGCGGAUUAAUUCGAUGCAACGCGAAGAACCUUACCAAGGCUUGACAUAUACGAGAACGGGCCAGAAAUGGUCAACUCUUUGGACACUCGUAAACAGGUGGUGCAUGGUUGUCGUCAGCUCGUGUCGUGAGAUGUUGGGUUAAGUCCCGCAACGAGCGCAACCCUCGUUCUAUGUUGCCAGCACGUAAUGGUGGGAACUCAUGGGAUACUGCCGGGGUCAACUCGGAGGAAGGUGGGGAUGACGUCAAAUCAUCAUGCCCCUUAUGUCUUGGGCUUCACGCAUGCUACAAUGGCCGGUACAAAGGGCUGCAAUACCGUGAGGUGGAGCGAAUCCCAAAAAGCCGGUCCCAGUUCGGAUUGAGGUCUGCAACUCGACCUCAUGAAGUCGGAGUCGCUAGUAAUCGCAGAUCAGCAACGCUGCGGUGAAUACGUUCCCGGGUCUUGUACACACCGCCCGUCAAGUCAUGAAAGUCGGUAACACCUGAAGC